AGUGAACGCUGGCGGUGUGCUUAACACAUGCAAGUCGAACGAGAACGGAUUAUAGCUUGCUAUAAUUGUCAGCUAAGUGGCGCACGGGUGAGUAAUGUAUAGGUAAUAUGCCUCUUACUAAGGGAUAACAAAUGGAAACGUUUGCUAAUACCUUAUACUCCUUAUUAACAGAAGUUAAUAAGGGAAAGAUUUAUUGGUAAGAGAUUAGCCUGUAUUGUAUCAGUUAGUUGGUGGGGUAAUGGCUUACCAAGACUAUGACACAUAACUGGUUUGAGAGGAUGAUCAGUCACACUGGAACUGAGACACGGUCCAGACUCCUACGGGAGGCAGCAGUGGGGAAUAUUGCACAAUGGACGAACGUCUGAUGCAGCAACGCCGCGUGGAGGAUGACACAUUUCGGUGCGUAAACUCCUUUUAUAUGAGAAGAUAAUGACGGUAUUAUAUGAAUAAGCACCGGCUAACUCCGUGCCAGCCGCCGCGGUAA
RNAcentral lists this ribosomal RNA (484 nucleotides) under uncultured bacterium. Its description in RNAcentral is "partial 16S ribosomal RNA". It matches the Rfam family "Bacterial small subunit ribosomal RNA", at positions 29 to 523 of the family's 1533-position model. The record is from RNAcentral.